GGGGAUGUAGCUUAGAGGUGAGAGCACUUGUUUAGUAUGUAUAAGAUCCCUGGUGGUUCCAUCCCCA
This 67-nucleotide transfer RNA is filed under the name Ictidomys tridecemlineatus (thirteen-lined ground squirrel). Its description in RNAcentral is "Spermophilus tridecemlineatus (thirteen-lined ground squirrel) tRNA". It matches the Rfam family "tRNA". From Rfam's summary of the family: Transfer RNA (tRNA) molecules are approximately 80 nucleotides in length. Their secondary structure includes four short double-helical elements and three loops (D, anti-codon, and T loops). Lineage: Eukaryota; Metazoa; Chordata; Mammalia; Rodentia; Sciuridae. The record is from Rfam by way of RNAcentral.